UUAUGGGAAGAGGCAGUAUGAGUGAGACUUUGGGUAAAAGAAAAGAAAAAGAGUGCACGAAAAACAUUGAGAAGGUGGAGACUAUCAUCUCUCUCUCUCUUUAUAUUCCUUUCUCCCUUAACUUUCAACCCCCAAAAAAAUCAAAAGCAAUCAUCAUGUUUUCUGAAUCAUCACCACCAAAACCUUACUUCUUUCACCGCCAUCAUCAUUGCUCCCACAACCAAAAAUAUUUCAAAAUAUCAUCAUUACUAUCAUCACCAUAUACUCCUCGUCAGAAAAAACGUGGUCAUCGCAAUAAUGAUGUUUAUCUUCGUGAUAGUGAUAAUGAUAAUGAUAAUGAUGAAGACGACGAAGAAAUUAAAAUGGAGAGAGUAUAUUUAAUUAAUUGAUUUGGAUCAAUUGAAACGAAUCCAUUCUCUCUCUAAACUCACUUUUUUUUUCCUUCGUUGGGGAAUCAAGCUUCCUGGUCCGAUCCCUUUGCUAUUUCAAGCAAAGUUAUCACUUUUUUUACUACUAGAUCUCGCACUCAAAACUUGAAGAAAUAUUGCUAUUUGCAGUUCAGAGAAAAGAAAAAAUAGAAGAGAAGUUUUGCGAAUAGCCAUCAAAAACAGCUUAAUUAGGCUUCAUAUAUAGCUAUAAUUUGUAAGUUCGUAGUUAUAUGUUCGAGGGAGGAGAGACGAGCAAGAUUGGGAGAGGAAGGAGAGAGGCUAGCGAGAUUGGGAGAGGAAGGAGAGAGGCGAGCGAAAGAGGUCAGAAAGUUGAGGGAGGUGAAUUAUAUAUGUAUAUCUUCGAAUUGUAUAUGCAUAUCUAUCAGAUACAUACUUGUAUACAUAUGUGUAUAGCUAAAUUACUGCUAUGUAGAGAGGAGAGAGGCAAUAGCUAAAAAGAGAUUAUAAAUGAUAAUUAAUUCAAACUAUAAUUAUAUUAGAUAACUUACUAAUAUAUAUUUGUUUAAUUUAUUCGCGUAAUUUUUACUCAAAUGUUAUAGCUUAUAGCCCAACUCAUGAAUGUUACGAUUUUAGCCCUAAAUCUUUUCUUCUAUUACAAAAGUGGCUAAAGCUUCUUUCUAUCUCUUUUUUUAAUUAAAAAAUAACAAUAAAAAAUUGGAAAUCAGGAAAGAAAAUGGAUAUGAAAUCACAAGGCGAAGAAUCGAACUCUCACCAUUCAUCAAUGUAUUUAUAGUUUAAAUAAUCACCAAAUAUAUUAUAAUACUCAUGCAUAAUUUAUAUUUAUAGUUCAAAUAAUCAUCAAUGUAUUAUAAUACUUAUGCGUACUUCAUCCUUCCGGUA
Solanum pennellii is the source of this 1289-nucleotide long non-coding RNA. RefSeq lists it as uncharacterized. The transcript has 2 exons. The record is from RefSeq and is a predicted model, not a curated record. NCBI's taxonomy places the organism in Eukaryota, Viridiplantae, Streptophyta, Magnoliopsida, Solanales, Solanaceae.